RNAcentral lists this ribosomal RNA (497 nucleotides) under uncultured bacterium. RNAcentral describes it as "partial 16S ribosomal RNA". It matches the Rfam family "Bacterial small subunit ribosomal RNA", at positions 28 to 507 of the family's 1533-position model. The record is from RNAcentral.
GAUGAACGCUGGCGGCGUGCCUAAUACAUGCAAGUCGAGCGAACAGACGAGGAGCUUGCUCCUCUGACGUUAGCGGCGGACGGGUGAGUCACACGUGGAUAACCUACCUUUAAGACUGGGAUAACUUCGGGAAACCGGAGCUAAUACCGGAUAAUAUAUUGAACCGCAUGGUUCAAUAGUGAAAGACGGUUUUGCUGUCACUUAUAGAUGGAUCCGCGCCGCAUUAGCUAGUUGGUAAGGUAACGGCUUACCAAGGCAACGAUGCGUAGCCGACCUGAGAGGGUGAUCGGCCACACUGGAACUGAGACACGGUCCAGACUCCUACGGGAGGCAGCAGUAGGGAAUCUUCCGCAAUGGGCGAAAGCUUGACGGAGCAACGCCGCGUGAGUGAUGAAGGUCUUCGGAUCGUAAAACUCUGUUAUUAGGGAAGAACAAAUGUGUAAGUAACUAUGCACGUCUUGACGGUACCUAAUCAGAAAGCCACGGCUAACUACGUG